GUUGAGAUUCCUGUACUACAGUAUGACAGAACUGUGGGGACGCAGAAGGAGAGCACUACCUGGAAUGGAAUCCAGGGGCAAGCACAGGAGGGGUACGGCUGGAAAAACCGCCGUGCAACCCAAAGGUGUGACGCAUACCGAACUAAAGUAGGGAAAUGUGUGAGCCGGCUGCCGAGAAAAGCCGCUAUUGUUUGUACUGUACCCGUACCGUAAACCGACACAGGUGGAUGAGGAGAGAAUCCUAAGGCCGACGGAAGAAGCAUUGCUAAGGAACUCGGCAAAAUGACCCUGUAACUUCGGGAGAAAGGGUGCCUCGAAAGAGGCCGCAGAGAAUAGGCCCAAGCAACUGUUUAGCAAAAACACAGGUCUAUGCAAAACCGCAAGGUGAAGUAUAUGGGCUGACGCCUGCCCGGUGCUGGAAGGUUAAGGGGAGAUGUCAGGAGACGAAGCAUCGAACUUAAGCCCCAGUAAACGGCGGCCGUAACAAUAACGGUCCUAAGGUAGCGAAAUUCCUUGUCGGGUAAGUUCCGACCCGCACGAAAGGCGUAAUGAUUUGGGCGCUGUCUCGGCAAUGCAUCCGGUGAAAUUGAAGUGCCAGUGAAGAUGCUGGCUACCCGCGCCAGGACGGAAAGACCCCAUGGAGCUUUACUCCAGCUUGAUACUGGGAUUCGGUAUUGUAUGUACAGGAUAGGUGGGAGGCUGAGAAAUGGUGACGCCAGUCGCCAUGGAGCCGCUGUUGGGAUACCACCCUUGCAGUACUGGAUUUCUAACCAGCAGCCGUGAUCCGGCUGGGGGACAAUGUCAGGUGGGGAGUUUGACUGGGGCGGUCGCCUCCGAAAGGGUAUCGGAGGCGCUCAAAGGUUCCCUCAGAAUGGUCGGAAACCAUUCGAAGAGUGCAAAGGCAGAAGGGAGCUUGACUGCGACACCGACGGGUGGGGCAGGUACGAAAGUAGGACUUAGUGAUCCGGUGGUAUUAAGUGGGAAUGCCAUCGCUCAACGGAUAAAAGCUACCCUGGGAUAACAGGCUUAUCACUCCCAAGAGUUCACAUCGACGGAGUGGUUUGGCACCUCGAUGUCGGCUCAUCGCAUCCUGGGGCUGUAGUAGGUCCCAAGGGUUGGGCUGUUCGCCCAUUAAAGCGGUACGCGAGCUGGGUUCAGAACGUCGUGAGACAGUUCGGUCCCUAUCCGGCGUGGGCGUAGGAUAUUUGAGAGGAGCUGACCUUAGUACGAGAGGACCGGGUUGGACUGACCUCUGGUGCACCGGUUGUCAUGCUAAUGGCACAGCCGGGUAGCCAAGUCGGGAAGGGAUAAACGCUGAAGGCAUCUAAGCGUGAAGCCCCCCUCAAGAUGAGAUAUCCCCCGCAUAAGCGGUAAGACCCCUUGAAGACGACGAGGUAGAUAGGGCAGAGGUGGAAGUGCAGUAAUGUAUGGAGCUGACUGCUACUAAUAGGUCGAAGGCUUAACC
RNAcentral lists this ribosomal RNA (1465 nucleotides) under metagenome. RNAcentral's name for it is "bacterial LSU rRNA". It matches the Rfam family "Bacterial large subunit ribosomal RNA", at positions 1429 to 2925 of the family's 2925-position model. The record is from RNAcentral.